Molecule: ribosomal RNA, 892 nt
Filed under: Cephus pygmeus
Lineage: Eukaryota; Metazoa; Arthropoda; Insecta; Hymenoptera; Cephidae
Also listed under: 1 other name
Description: SSU rRNA
Rfam family: Eukaryotic small subunit ribosomal RNA
Source: RNAcentral
AUAGCGUAUAUUAAAGUUGUUGCGGUUAAAAAGCUCGUAGUUGAAUCUGUGUCCCACGCUGUCGGUUCAUCGCUCGCGGUGUUUAACUGGCAUGACUGUGGGACGUCCUACCGGUGGGCUUAGCUCCUCACGGGGGGCGGCCCAACUAAUAUCCCAUCGCGGUGCUCUUUACCGAGUGUCGAGGUGGGCCGGUACGUUUACUUUGAACAAAUUAGAGUGCUUAAAGCAGGCUACCUUCGCCUGAAUACUGCGUGCAUGGAAUAAUGGAAUAGGACCUCGGUUCUAUUUUGUUGGUUUUCGGAACCCCGAGGUAAUGAUUAAUAGGGACAGAUGGGGGCAUUCGUAUUGCGACGUUAGAGGUGAAAUUCUUGGAUCGUCGCAAGACGGACAGAAGCGAAAGCAUUUGCCAAAAAUGUUUUCAUUAAUCAAGAACGAAAGUUAGAGGUUCGAAGGCGAUCAGAUACCGCCCUAGUUCUAACCAUAAACGAUGCCAGCUAGCGAUCCGCCGAAGUUCCUCCGAUGACUCGGCGGGCAGCUUCCGGGAAACCAAAGCUUUUGGGUUCCGGGGGAAGUAUGGUUGCAAAGCUGAAACUUAAAGGAAUUGACGGAAGGGCACCACCAGGAGUGGAGCCUGCGGCUUAAUUUGACUCAACACGGGAAACCUCACCAGGCCCGGACACCGGAAGGAUUGACAGAUUGAUAGCUCUUUCUUGAUUCGGUGGGUGGUGGUGCAUGGCCGUUCUUAGUUGGUGGAGCGAUUUGUCUGGUUAAUUCCGAUAACGAACGAGACUCUAGCCUGCUAAAUAGGCGUAAUUCAUGGUAUCUCGAAGGCCCUCGACUUCGGUCGGGCGGUUUUUACUACCGACGUACAAACAAAUCUUCUUAGAGGGAC